GACGAACGCUGGCGGCGUGCUUAACACAUGCAAGUCGAACGUGAUUUUUAUGGAAAGCCCUUCGGGGACGGAAGUAAAAUGAAAGUGGCGAACGGGUGAGUAACACGUGAGCAACCUACCUUACACAGGGGGAUAGCCGUUGGAAACGACGAUUAAUACCGCAUGAGACCACAAAGCCACAUGGCUUAGGGGUAAAAGAUUUAUCGGUGUAAGAUGGGCUCGCGUCUGAUUAGCUAGUUGGAAGGGUAAAGGCCUACCAAGGCGACGAUCAGUAGCCGGUCUGAGAGGAUGAACGGCCACAUUGGAACUGAGACACGGUCCAAACUCCUACGGGAGGCAGCAGUGGGGAAUAUUGCACAAUGGGGGGAACCCUGAUGCAGCGACGCCGCGUGAGCGAAGAAGGUUUUCGAAUCGUAAAGCUCUGUCCUAUGAGAAGAUAAUGACGGUAUCAUAGGAGGAAGCCCCGGCUAAAUACGUGCCAGCAGCCGCGGUAAUACGUAUGGGGCGAGCGUUGUCCGGAAUUAUUGGGCGUAAAGGGUACGUAGGCGGCCUUUUAAGUCAGGUGUGAAAGCGUGAGGCUUAACCUCAUUAAGCACUUGAAACUGGAAGGCUCGAGUGAAGGAGAGGAAAGUGGAAUUCCUAGUGUAGCGGUGAAAUGCGUAGAUAUUAGGAGGAAUACCGGUGGCGAAGGCGACUUUCUGGACUUUUACUGACGCUCAGGUACGAAAGCGUGGGGAGCAAACAGG
Molecule: ribosomal RNA, 746 nt
Filed under: uncultured Parvimonas sp.
Lineage: Bacteria; Bacillati; Bacillota; Tissierellia; Tissierellales; Peptoniphilaceae
Description: bacterial SSU rRNA
Rfam family: Bacterial small subunit ribosomal RNA
Source: RNAcentral